UGCCGCAGCCAUAUCACCCUGCAGCCCAAGACCGGUUACUCACUGAAGCUAAGCAGGGCUGAGCCUGGUCAGUACCUGGAUGGGAGACCACUAGGGAACACUACGUUGCUGUUGGAA
Danio rerio (zebrafish) is the source of this 117-nucleotide non-coding RNA. The record is from Rfam. Lineage: Eukaryota; Metazoa; Chordata; Actinopteri; Cypriniformes; Danionidae.